Brachypodium distachyon (stiff brome) is the source of this 125-nucleotide non-coding RNA. The record is from Rfam. Lineage: Eukaryota; Viridiplantae; Streptophyta; Magnoliopsida; Poales; Poaceae.
AAGAUACUCCCUCCGUUGCAUAAUUCUUGUUUUAAAUUUGUCCAAAAAUAGAUGUAUCUAUUCUUAAAAAACGUCUAGAUACAUGUAAUAUUUCGACAAGAAUUAUGGAACAGAGGAAGUACUUA